RNAcentral lists this ribosomal RNA (2902 nucleotides) under Escherichia coli. RNAcentral describes it as "bacterial LSU rRNA". It matches the Rfam family "Bacterial large subunit ribosomal RNA". Lineage: Bacteria; Pseudomonadati; Pseudomonadota; Gammaproteobacteria; Enterobacterales; Enterobacteriaceae. The record is from RNAcentral.
UUAAGCGACUAAGCGUACACGGUGGAUGCCCUGGCAGUCAGAGGCGAUGAAGGACGUGCUAAUCUGCGAUAAGCGUCGGUAAGGUGAUAUGAACCGUUAUAACCGGCGAUUUCCGAAUGGGGAAACCCAGUGUGUUUCGACACACUAUCAUUAACUGAAUCCAUAGGUUAAUGAGGCGAACCGGGGGAACUGAAACAUCUAAGUACCCCGAGGAAAAGAAAUCAACCGAGAUUCCCCCAGUAGCGGCGAGCGAACGGGGAGCAGCCCAGAGCCUGAAUCAGUGUGUGUGUUAGUGGAAGCGUCUGGAAAGGCGCGCGAUACAGGGUGACAGCCCCGUACACAAAAAUGCACAUGCUGUGAGCUCGAUGAGUAGGGCGGGACACGUGGUAUCCUGUCUGAAUAUGGGGGGACCAUCCUCCAAGGCUAAAUACUCCUGACUGACCGAUAGUGAACCAGUACCGUGAGGGAAAGGCGAAAAGAACCCCGGCGAGGGGAGUGAAAAAGAACCUGAAACCGUGUACGUACAAGCAGUGGGAGCACGCUUAGGCGUGUGACUGCGUACCUUUUGUAUAAUGGGUCAGCGACUUAUAUUCUGUAGCAAGGUUAACCGAAUAGGGGAGCCGAAGGGAAACCGAGUCUUAACUGGGCGUUAAGUUGCAGGGUAUAGACCCGAAACCCGGUGAUCUAGCCAUGGGCAGGUUGAAGGUUGGGUAACACUAACUGGAGGACCGAACCGACUAAUGUUGAAAAAUUAGCGGAUGACUUGUGGCUGGGGGUGAAAGGCCAAUCAAACCGGGAGAUAGCUGGUUCUCCCCGAAAGCUAUUUAGGUAGCGCCUCGUGAAUUCAUCUCCGGGGGUAGAGCACUGUUUCGGCAAGGGGGUCAUCCCGACUUACCAACCCGAUGCAAACUGCGAAUACCGGAGAAUGUUAUCACGGGAGACACACGGCGGGUGCUAACGUCCGUCGUGAAGAGGGAAACAACCCAGACCGCCAGCUAAGGUCCCAAAGUCAUGGUUAAGUGGGAAACGAUGUGGGAAGGCCCAGACAGCCAGGAUGUUGGCUUAGAAGCAGCCAUCAUUUAAAGAAAGCGUAAUAGCUCACUGGUCGAGUCGGCCUGCGCGGAAGAUGUAACGGGGCUAAACCAUGCACCGAAGCUGCGGCAGCGACGCUUAUGCGUUGUUGGGUAGGGGAGCGUUCUGUAAGCCUGCGAAGGUGUGCUGUGAGGCAUGCUGGAGGUAUCAGAAGUGCGAAUGCUGACAUAAGUAACGAUAAAGCGGGUGAAAAGCCCGCUCGCCGGAAGACCAAGGGUUCCUGUCCAACGUUAAUCGGGGCAGGGUGAGUCGACCCCUAAGGCGAGGCCGAAAGGCGUAGUCGAUGGGAAACAGGUUAAUAUUCCUGUACUUGGUGUUACUGCGAAGGGGGGACGGAGAAGGCUAUGUUGGCCGGGCGACGGUUGUCCCGGUUUAAGCGUGUAGGCUGGUUUUCCAGGCAAAUCCGGAAAAUCAAGGCUGAGGCGUGAUGACGAGGCACUACGGUGCUGAAGCAACAAAUGCCCUGCUUCCAGGAAAAGCCUCUAAGCAUCAGGUAACAUCAAAUCGUACCCCAAACCGACACAGGUGGUCAGGUAGAGAAUACCAAGGCGCUUGAGAGAACUCGGGUGAAGGAACUAGGCAAAAUGGUGCCGUAACUUCGGGAGAAGGCACGCUGAUAUGUAGGUGAAGCGACUUGCUCGUGGAGCUGAAAUCAGUCGAAGAUACCAGCUGGCUGCAACUGUUUAUUAAAAACACAGCACUGUGCAAACACGAAAGUGGACGUAUACGGUGUGACGCCUGCCCGGUGCCGGAAGGUUAAUUGAUGGGGUCAGCGCAAGCGAAGCUCUUGAUCGAAGCCCCGGUAAACGGCGGCCGUAACUAUAACGGUCCUAAGGUAGCGAAAUUCCUUGUCGGGUAAGUUCCGACCUGCACGAAUGGCGUAAUGAUGGCCAGGCUGUCUCCACCCGAGACUCAGUGAAAUUGAACUCGCUGUGAAGAUGCAGUGUACCCGCGGCAAGACGGAAAGACCCCGUGAACCUUUACUAUAGCUUGACACUGAACAUUGAGCCUUGAUGUGUAGGAUAGGUGGGAGGCUUUGAAGUGUGGACGCCAGUCUGCAUGGAGCCGACCUUGAAAUACCACCCUUUAAUGUUUGAUGUUCUAACGUUGGCCCCUAAUCGGGGUUGCGGACAGUGUCUGGUGGGUAGUUUGACUGGGGCGGUCUCCUCCUAAAGAGUAACGGAGGAGCACGAAGGUUGGCUAAUCCUGGUCGGACAUCAGGAGGUUAGUGCAAUGGCAUAAGCCAGCUUGACUGCGAGCGUGACGGCGCGAGCAGGUGCGAAAGCAGGUCAUAGUGAUCCGGUGGUUCUGAAUGGAAGGGCCAUCGCUCAACGGAUAAAAGGUACUCCGGGGAUAACAGGCUGAUACCGCCCAAGAGUUCAUAUCGACGGCGGUGUUUGGCACCUCGAUGUCGGCUCAUCACAUCCUGGGGCUGAAGUAGGUCCCAAGGGUAUGGCUGUUCGCCAUUUAAAGUGGUACGCGAGCUGGGUUUAGAACGUCGUGAGACAGUUCGGUCCCUAUCUGCCGUGGGCGCUGGAGAACUGAGGGGGGCUGCUCCUAGUACGAGAGGACCGGAGUGGACGCAUCACUGGUGUUCGGGUUGUCAUGCCAAUGGCACUGCCCGGUAGCUAAAUGCGGAAGAGAUAAGUGCUGAAAGCAUCUAAGCACGAAACUUGCCCCGAGAUGAGUUCUCCCUGACUCCUUGAGAGUCCUGAAGGAACGUUGAAGACGACGACGUUGAUAGGCCGGGUGUGUAAGCGCAGCGAUGCGUUGAGCUAACCGGUACUAAUGAACCGUGAGGCUUAACCUU